Molecule: ribosomal RNA, 602 nt
Filed under: Alphaproteobacteria bacterium
Lineage: Bacteria; Pseudomonadati; Pseudomonadota; Alphaproteobacteria
Description: bacterial SSU rRNA
Rfam family: Bacterial small subunit ribosomal RNA
Source: RNAcentral
UUAAACUUGAGAGUUUGAUCCUGGCUCAGAACGAACGCUGGCGGCAGGCUUAACACAUGCAAGUCGAGCGCCCCCGCAAGGGGGAGCGGCGCACGGGAGAGUAACGCGUGGGAAUGUGCCCUUUGGUUCGGAACAACACCGGGAAACUGGUGCUAAUACCGGAUACCUCCGAGAGGAGAAAGAUUUAUCGCCAAAGGAUCAGCCCGCGUUGGAUUAGCUAGUUGGUAGGGUAACGGCCUACCAAGGCGACGAUCCAUAGCUGGUCUAAGAGGAUGAUCAGCCUCAUUGGGACUGAGACACGGCCCAAACUCCUACGGGAGGCAGCAGUGGGGAAUAUUGGACAAUGGGGGCAACCCUGAUCCAGCCAUGCCGCGUGAGUGCUAAGGCCUUCGGGUUGUAAAACUCUUUUACCCACGACGAUGAUGACGGUAGUGGGAGAAUAAGUCCCGGCAAACUUCGUGCCAGCAGCCGCGGUAAUACGAAGGGGACUAGCGUUGUUCGGAAUUACUGGGCGUAAAGGGCGCGUAGGUUGUACGGUAAGUCAGGUGUGAAAGCCCAGGGCUCAACCCUGGAAUAGCAUUUGAUACUGCCGUGCUGGAGUG